Molecule: ribosomal RNA, 627 nt
Filed under: Lactarius sp. GAL14289
Lineage: Eukaryota; Fungi; Basidiomycota; Agaricomycetes; Russulales; Russulaceae
Description: LSU rRNA
Rfam family: Eukaryotic large subunit ribosomal RNA
Source: RNAcentral
UAAGCGGAGGAAAAGAAACUAACAAGGAUUCCCCUAGUAACUGCGAGUGNAGCGGGNAAAGCUCAAAUUUAAAAUCUGGCGGUCUUUGGCCGUCCGAGUUGUAAUUUAGAGAAGCGUCUUCCGCGCCGGACCGUGCACAAGUCUCCUGGAAUGGAGCGUCAUAGAGGGUGAGAAUCCCGUCUUUGGCACGGAUGCCUGGUGCUCUGUGAUGCGCUCUCGAAGAGUCGAGUUGUUUGGGAAUGCAGCUCAAAAUGGGUGGUGAACUCCAUCUAAAGCUAAAUAUUGGCGAGAGACCGAUAGCGAACAAGUACCGUGAGGGAAAGAUGAAAAGCACUUUGGAAAGAGAGUGAAACAGUACGUGAAAUUGUUGAAAGGGAAACGCUUGAAGUCAGUCGCGUCGACCGAGACUCAGCCUUGCCUCGGCUUGGUGUACUUCUCGGCCCGACGGGUCAGCGUCAAUUUUGCCCCUCGGAUAAUGGCAAGGGAAAGGUGGCACCUUUACGGGUGUGUUAUAGUCUCCUGUCGCAUGCGAGGGUUGGGAUUGAGGAACUCAGCGCGCACCUUUGGUGUCGGGGCUUCGGCCCACGUCACGCGCUUAGGAUGCUGGCGNAAUGGCUUUAAACNANC